CUUGUAUUACCCAGGUAAGCCAGUGUGAUUAGAGGACAUCUUAAAAUAGAAGAGGAUAAUCAGAGGAUUGUAUGACUGUGAAAAAAUGAGGGAAGGAUGCAAUGUUGCUGGCUUUGAAGGCAAAGGAAGAGGACCAUGAGCCAAGGAAUGAGGGCAGCUUCUCAAAGCUGGAAAGAACCUUCCUCCAUAUGACCAAAGAAAAUGACUACUUCCAAAUGUACCUUCACACCAUCUCAGCUUAACAACUAAUAGAAGGAAAACACUGCUCACCUUUAUAGAUCCAGAAUACUGGGACAAAUACUAAGAUCAUUUAUUACCUAUUUGAAAAAGAACAUCUUAUCACGAUUUGAUGGAGAUAUUUUGGUUCCAGAGGGCAGAAAGGA
Molecule: long non-coding RNA, 383 nt
Filed under: Heterocephalus glaber (naked mole-rat)
Lineage: Eukaryota; Metazoa; Chordata; Mammalia; Rodentia; Bathyergidae
Description: lncRNA (ENSHGLG00100039811.1)
Source: RNAcentral